CCCCUAGUAACUGCGAGUGAAGCGGGAAAAGCUCAAAUUUAAAAUCUGGCAGUCUUUGGCUGUCCGAGUUGUAAUCUAGAGAAGCAUUAUCCGCGCUGGACCGUGUACAAGUCUCCUGGAAUGGAGCGUCAUAGAGGGUGAGAAUCCCGUCUUUGACAUGGACUACCAGGGCUUUGUGAUGUGCUCUCAAAGAGUCGAGUUGUUUGGGAAUGCAGCUCAAAAUGGGUGGUAAAUUCCAUCUAAAGCUAAAUAUUGGCGAGAGACCGAUAGCGAACAAGUACCGUGAGGGAAAGAUGAAAAGAACUUUGGAAAGAGAGUUAAACAGUACGUGAAAUUGCUGAAAGGGAAACGCUUAAAGUCAGUCGCAUUUUCCAGGGAUCAACUCUUGCUUUUGCUUGGUGUACUUUCUGGUUAAUGGGUCAGCAUCAAUUUUGAUCAUUGGAAAAAGAUCAAGGGAAUGUGGCAUCUUUGGAUGUGUUAUAGCCCUUGGUUGCAUACAUUGGUUGGGAUUGAGGAACUCAGCACGCCGCAAGGCCGAGUUAUUUUUUAACUACGUACGUGCUUAGGAUGCUGGCAUAAUGGCUUUAAUCGACCCGUCUUGAAACACGGACCAAGGAGUCUAACAUGCCUGCGAGUGUUUGGGUGGAAAACCCGAGCGCGCAAUGAAAGUGAAAGUUGAGAUCCCUGUCGUGGGGAGCAUCGACGCCUGGACCUGACCUUUUGUGACGGUUCCACGGUAGAGCAUGUAUGUUGGGACCCGAAAGAUGGUGAACUAUGCCUGAAUAGGGUGAAGCCAGAGGAAACUCUGGUGGAGGCUCGUAGCGAUUCUGACGUGCAAAUCGAUCGUCAAAUUUGGGUAUAGGGGCGAAAGACUAAUCGAACCAUCUAGUAGCUGGUUCCUGC
RNAcentral lists this ribosomal RNA (903 nucleotides) under Calonarius olearioides. Its description in RNAcentral is "eukaryotic LSU rRNA". It matches the Rfam family "Eukaryotic large subunit ribosomal RNA", at positions 77 to 961 of the family's 3401-position model. Lineage: Eukaryota; Fungi; Basidiomycota; Agaricomycetes; Agaricales; Cortinariaceae. The record is from RNAcentral.